AUCAUCAUCCUGGUGGUGGGCAUUGGUUUGCUGCGGGUCUCUCUCCUAAUAUUCCAGGCAGAAACAGGGUCUCCAUGCAUAGCAGCCCACAUUUUCAGGAUUGAAGGAGCGGUGAGUCUUCGUUAUCCCAUCAUCAUAUCAGAUUUUAGUUGUUUUGUCCAUGGCUUUGUGUAACAUAAUCCCUUGAGAGUACUUGAGAAAGUUAGAUGAAGCUCUUGAGUCUUGGAGAAUAUUACUUGCAGUCAUGACUAUGAUCUAUGAAUUGUAGAUGUGAUCUUUGU
Molecule: long non-coding RNA, 281 nt
Filed under: Rosa chinensis
Lineage: Eukaryota; Viridiplantae; Streptophyta; Magnoliopsida; Rosales; Rosaceae
Description: sRNA RchiOBHm_Chr1g0335961
Source: RNAcentral